Molecule: ribosomal RNA, 119 nt
Filed under: Octopus vulgaris (common octopus)
Lineage: Eukaryota; Metazoa; Mollusca; Cephalopoda; Octopoda; Octopodidae
Also listed under: 1 other name
Source: RNAcentral
GCUUACGGCCAUAUCACGUUGAAAGCACCGGUUCUUGUCCGAUCACCGAAGUUAAGCAACAUCGAGCCUAGUUAGUACUUAGAUGGGUGACCGCUUGGGAAACCUAGGUGCUGUAAGCA